RNAcentral lists this transfer RNA (71 nucleotides) under Loxodonta africana (African savanna elephant). It matches the Rfam family "tRNA". Rfam says of the family: Transfer RNA (tRNA) molecules are approximately 80 nucleotides in length. Their secondary structure includes four short double-helical elements and three loops (D, anti-codon, and T loops). Lineage: Eukaryota; Metazoa; Chordata; Mammalia; Proboscidea; Elephantidae. The record is from Rfam by way of RNAcentral.
GCACUGGUAGUUCAGUGACAGAAUUCUCACCUUCCACCUCAGAGACUCAGGUUCGAUUCCUGGCCAAUGCA